AUUACUAUUUCUUUCCGCAUCAAUCUCUCUCUCUCUCUAGUCUUUCUCUCUCUCUGCGCGCGCGCAACUUUCAUGUCGCUGCAUUGGCUUAUGCAGUUAUGAAUUGUAUGCAGCGCUUGGUGUAUUUCCGUCACUCUGAUGUCUUGAAAAGAACGAUUGCUAUUAACUAUGGCGAACAACCUAAGGCGCUUCCGAAGUCGAUGAGGGAAACUUAAGUGAUUCCUUUGGGUGGUUAAUUAGCUUCUAAAAUGCACGAGUGAAGAUAAAAAACUGGAGACAUUGGGGUCUGAAGGUAAUAGCAUAAAUAAGUGCUUGAAUAGUUGGCUGACAUUGGAGUUCCAUUCAUAGUCUGUAAGACGAAUGGAGAAAGUAUUUGAACAUGUCAGUUUGGAAAUUUCAUUUUGUAUCUUUUGAUCCUUGGGUUUGGAGACAAUUUUAGGAAGUGCAUCUUUUCAUGCAAUAUCUGUUAUCGGAUUUUCAAACCUUAUUAAACCGUCCACUUGGCCUUUUCAGCAACUUGAGAUGACUUAGGGUAUAAAUCUUUUACAUUGUCUUCUUUUAGGUAUUGGUGAUUUCGUUGCAUAGUUUGUUGAUUGUGAAACCGCUGAAUGGAGAUAUAUUGACAUGCCUGUUAACUUCUAAGCUAUAGUAUAAGGUGUGUCGUGUAUCAUGUAUCGCAUAAGGUAUUAAUUUGCAACUUAUUCUAUGAUUUUCUGAGUAAA
Juglans regia (Persian walnut) is the source of this 722-nucleotide long non-coding RNA. RefSeq lists it as uncharacterized. The transcript has 2 exons. NCBI's taxonomy places the organism in Eukaryota, Viridiplantae, Streptophyta, Magnoliopsida, Fagales, Juglandaceae. The record is from RefSeq and is a predicted model, not a curated record.